AACGUAUCUGCCAAAUCAGGAAGAGGAACUGUUCUAGCCAGUCACAAUCCUCAGGUGGAAGAAGAUUAAGAGUGAAACGGAGGUUAAAAAAAAGCGAACAGACGGAUUGGAUUGGAGAGCGCUCUGGUGUUGUGACCAAGUCUGUUCCCCAGCUGAUAUGUGUCUUCUUGUACCAUCAGGACUUGAGAAGGUUCAAAACUUCAGUCAAGUCUAACAUCCUCGAGGAGAACACGUCACUUUCACUCUGACAGUGUCGCUGCAGGUGCUGAAAGAAUAAAGAGGAAAACAGCUGAUGAUUCGUGUUCGCGCAGCCGUGAAGGAACUCGACGACAGUAAAUCACACAUGACCCACAUCCACACAGCUGGAUGACUCACUGUUCAUACAUGUGACACUCUGCAGCUGCCUCCACCAGCUUUAAUCAGACGCUCCUCACGAGCUGAUGUAUGUUUCAAUCUGCCCGUCAAACCGGCCUCGGUUGUUUACUUCACACUGUUUUCCUCCCUGCGAGACGUCGAUGCAGCCGCUGUGCUCCGGAUGAUGAUGUGUUCCUGCAAAUGUCAGAAUAUAUUCCGAGGACUCCGACGAGAACUGGAACAUCUUUGAAUUUAAUGUAAAUGUAAAGUCUAAACACAAAGCUCUGACAGCGUGUCAUCGCCUUAAUGAACCCGUCGACAUGUCGCAGAUUGAUGGAGAAUUUCAAGGAGGCAAAAUGAAUUCAAAGACUAUUUAAUAUGUAAAAAGCUUGUGGAUGUUGCUUUUCUUACAGCGUAGUUUGAUGAUUUAUUAACGGGACAAAACACUUGUUGGAGAGAAAUCUAUAAAUACAUUAAAAGCACUUGUGAAGCAGUGAUUGGCCCUUUCAGAGGCUCCUCCCCCAGUGCUGAGCGGCGGUGCUAAUACAGGAUCGUGACCUGUAGUUUCCACAGUAAAAGCCUGAAAAGCCUGAUAGAUCUCAACACACAGAUGAACAGUAAGUAGGGAUCACAGGUUAAAUCUGGGUGUGGGUUAAUAUGCAAAUCCAAAAGUCCUCAACAACCGUCCAUGUGCAAGAAAGCAAGAUGGAAGUCGCAUCAAUAUGCCUGCGAUGUGUGAGCAGCAGAGGUUAAAAGACCAGGUUUUUUUUGCAGAAGUGGUGAUAUGAUAUGUGUCAUCAUGUGAGCUGUGCUGUGAGCUGAAAGAGGCUGUUUGGAGUAAAUCCUGAAAAAACAGGAAGAUACGACGAUCUGGAAAGACAUAAAACAUGUUGUUCUUUACAGUGUGUGAUGAUAAUCGACUGGAAAGAAAGAAAUAUUUACCUACGAAUUAAAAACAUAUAGAGUUAUUGCAGACUGACAAACAUUUUGUGUUACCGUGCUGACAAGCCAACAAACCAACUGACUGACUGAAAUGCUGAAGGACAGGAAGUUCAGACAGACGGGUUCACGUGUGGUUGGUUUGUGUCUUCUUACGUGAUUUAUACCAAACUGAUCCUGUUAAACCUUCGUGUCCUGUUUCCUGGAGACAGAAACAACCUCGCUCCUCAUUCUCUCCUCGAAGAAUCUAAAGUCAACAACGUUUCUGCUUCACCUCAGAAGAUUUGUCUUCACACUGACAAAGUUAUUUUCUUAAAAGCACUCGGCUGCCGACUCAACGCUUUCUUUAUGAUUUGUCACGACGUGUUCAGGGUCACGGUCUCUUUUCUCUCCACAUCAUCCUGUUUAUCUCGUCUGCUCUGAUUGAAUCGACCUUCGUUGUGACUCCUGGAGACACCGAAUCUGUUUUUCUUCAUGUAUCUGAAAAACUUUCAUUAUUUUCUCCACAAACAUCCCACUUAUUACAUAAAGGCGUCAUUAUGACUCUUUACUCUGAGCUGUGGAGGCUUUUUUACAAAGUAUUUUACAGCCACACGUUCCAGAAAGACUAAAUUAAUAUGUGAAAAAGUCUAAAUUGUAACAGCUUUUUGUUAAACUAUCCUUAAACACAUAUCUCAGUCAAGCCUCGAGUAAAUGUAAGGCUGCUGUUGAACCAUUUGGAGUAGAGACGUGUUUUUUUUAACGGUUUGUCUGAUUUUCUUUUUCCUAUAUGAUCAGAAGCUCUGUGAGUUUUAAAGGUGAAAAUCAGCAUGCAGAUGUUGUGUAACUGCCCCUUUAACCUGGAGAACAUAAAGAGUCCACGUCAUAUGGUCUUAAAUGAUCCAAGUUUAUAUUUUACAACAAUAUCAGUGAAAAUUUACAAUUUAAACUAGAUAUUUCUUAGUUUGUGUUCAGUCGUCAUUAAUAAAGAUAAUUAUUAUAAUAAAGACCUGGUGGGUCCAACAAACUGAACCAGCCACUGCAUUUAGUCACACAGACUGCUAACUCUGCUAAUCAUCUGUAAGUUGUGUAGUAUUGUUGAAAUAAACAAAAAGAAAUGGUAUUACAUUCCUGCAAAGACCCAGGUGUCUUUCUGGAGUCUCAACAAAUGACCUCGUCUAGACAGAAAACACUGCAACGCUCAUCUGUGGUUGUUUUAACAUCCACUUUGGAUCCGUGUCUGCCGCUCGUCUGAGACUGUAGGCUGACACACCAGAGCCGCAGGUCGCUUCUGCACACAGAGCGGACUUCUGUUUCAGUUUCCACUGUGUUUGAGCUGCUCAGUAACACAGAGAGCCACAGUAACCACUUUAUUACAGGUAUGUUGUGGCCUUUCGAAGGGUUGAUGGUGUUUUUCUUGGUACUCUGACAGAUAAAAGCAUGAAAAAAAAAAACCUGGGGUUGCAGUUUGUUGCCACUGCUUCAAGAAAUAAUGUGAGCUGGACUAACUGUGACACUGAGAUGGAUUUACUGAACAUCUGAGCAAUGAGACACCCAGAAGCUCAAUCGUUGAGGUGCCACACAUUCCUACAUGCUUGAUCUGAACCAAAUCACAAGAACAGUGUUGGAGCCAUUUUUUGGUUCAUGUAUUUGUUUAUUUUUUGUGUAACACCUUGAUGCCACAGUAGGUGGCGCUCUGUGCUGUGGGCUGCAGGAAACUGUUAAAUAGAACAGCAGGUAACUACUCAGCAGGUGUGCUGCUGACUGGGGAAGCACAGUUUUUCACCGUCGUUGUCAUCUUAUUACUGCGUCGUGGCAAACAUCAGCCUUCUGGUUUGUUUGUUUUUUCCAGGUGACACAGUUAAUGUCAUUGUGUGCACAGUCCAGCUGAGGUCGCUUAUUUGUUAAGAGCAAAAAAGCACAAAUAAAGGUUUGGUGAUUGUUGUGAUAAGAACACGUCAGAUGGCUUCUUCUUGUAACGAAGGGCCUGUUUUUGUUUUAUGGCGCCAAAAUGAAGCAAAACAUUCUUAAAAUAAAAGCACAAUCUUUCCAUUCAGUGAAGGUAAUUUGGUUUCUUGCUCUCAGAAUUGGACCUGAACCGUGGUGAUCUGAUCUUUGACAACUGUUAUCUGUUCUGAGGUGAGGUUUUAUUCCAGAGCUGCAGUCAGACUCCUUCCAUACAGAUCAUCACCGUCAGCGUAUCCUGGUUUAUCUAAAGAUCUGACACACGUCCUGAGAGACCGAUCAAACUCUGCAGAGUGUCUCUGUGAGGAUAUUUUCAUCCUGGAGAAAGAAAAACAUCUGCUGAACGAGCUUCAGGCUGUUUCAAUGAUACUUAUAUUU
This is a long non-coding RNA of Acanthopagrus latus (yellowfin seabream), 3615 nucleotides long. RefSeq lists it as uncharacterized. The record is from RefSeq and is a predicted model, not a curated record. Lineage: Eukaryota; Metazoa; Chordata; Actinopteri; Spariformes; Sparidae. The transcript has 2 exons.